AUGAACGCUGGCGGCUUGCCUAAUACAUGCAAGUCGCGCGAACAGACGAGGAGCUUGCUCCUCUGACGUUAGCGGCGGACGGGUGAGUAACACGUGGAUAACCUACCUAUAAGACUGGGAUAACUUCGGGAAACCGGAGCUAAUACCGGAUAAUAUAUUGAACCGCAUGGUUCAAUAGUGAAAGACGGUUUUGCUGUCACUUAUAGAUGGAUCCGCGCCGCAUUAGCUAGUUGGUAAGGUAACGGCUUACCAAGGCAACGAUGCGUAGCCGACCUGAGAGGGUGAUCGGCCACACUGGAACUGAGACACGGUCCAGACUCCUACGGGAGGCAGCAGUAGGGAAUCUUCCGCAAUGGGCGAAAGCCUGACGGAGCAACGCCGCGUGAGUGAUGAAGGUCUUCGGAUCGUAAAACUCUGUUAUUAGGGAAGAACAAAUGUGUAAGUAACUAUGCACGUCUUGACGGUACCUAAUCAGAAAGCCACGGCUAACUACGUG
Molecule: ribosomal RNA, 496 nt
Filed under: uncultured bacterium
Lineage: Bacteria
Description: partial 16S ribosomal RNA
Rfam family: Bacterial small subunit ribosomal RNA
Source: RNAcentral